Long non-coding RNA from Ostrinia nubilalis (European corn borer), 426 nucleotides. RefSeq lists it as uncharacterized. The record is from RefSeq and is a predicted model, not a curated record. The transcript is spliced from 3 exons. NCBI's taxonomy places the organism in Eukaryota, Metazoa, Arthropoda, Insecta, Lepidoptera, Crambidae.
GUUCGUAAGUUUUUUACUGAUUCACUUUGAUUGUGUUUAUUGUGUGAGUGCUAAUUUAGUGUGUUAUGUUUAUUAAAUCAUCUUUAGGUCGGACAUUGAGUAUUACAACAAGAUUGAAGCCAAGCCUCGAGCUGCCCGCAAGCGGGAGGACUUGGAGGACGACGAGCGCCCCAUUCAGCGACCUCGGAAGGCGAGCAAGGCGGUGUUUUACGAUUCUGAGGACGAGCAUGCUAGCAAACGUACAAAGACACUAAAGAAGCCCCCACCGUCUAAGCGCAAGUCUGCUGCAGGCCUUGAAAAAGAUCUCUUCGAUUCGGAAGACGAACAAGUUCAUAAGCGAGUCGGCAAAGAGACGAAGAGACCUGCAGCGUUGAAGCGCAAACGAGCUCGGGCUGACGGUUGGGAGCUGGAGCUGGACGACGAGGA